GUAUAGGUUUAAUGACUGCUUGCGCAAUCGUUAAAAGACAUUCUGUAACUUUAUAGUGUAUAUGAAAACAUGAUCUUGAACGAAGCAGGAGCAGAGUUUAUUCAGACUCCCAAACCGCACGAAUGCGAGGUUUCAAUUCAAGACCACAAGAUGUGCACAAGAGAAGAUAAAUAGAUGGACGUGCACAUGCUCAGUGAAGAGCCAGCAACAGUACCAACGUAUUCAAUAAUGAUCCUUCCGCAGGUUCACCUACGGAAA
Molecule: unclassified non-coding RNA, 258 nt
Filed under: uncultured fungus
Lineage: Eukaryota; Fungi
Description: sequence contains ITS1
Source: RNAcentral